Molecule: ribosomal RNA, 240 nt
Filed under: uncultured bacterium
Lineage: Bacteria
Description: partial 16S ribosomal RNA
Rfam family: Bacterial small subunit ribosomal RNA
Source: RNAcentral
CCGACGGGUGAGUAACACGUAUGCAAUCCACCUGUAACAGGGGGGGUAACCCGGAGAAAUCCGGACUAAUACCCCAUAAUAUGGGCGCUCCGCAUGGAGAGCCCAUUAAAGAGAGCAAUUUUGGUUACAGACGAGCAUGCGCUCCAUUAGCCAGUUGGCGGGGUAACGGCCCACCAAAGCGACGAUGGAUAGGGGUUCUGAGAGGAAGGUCCCCCACAUUGGAACUGAGACACGGUCCAA